CCCGGUGCCGGCGGUGACGCGGUGCUGGCCCAGGCACGGUGCAGCGGAUCGAGGCGCUGCCGCUGGCCCGCGUGCUGCACGAGCUGGGGGCCGGCCGGACGCGCGUGGGGGAAGCCAUCAACCCCCGCGUGGGCGCCGAGCUGCUGGUGGCCGUGGGGCAGCGCCUGCGGGCAGGGGAGCCGUGGCUGCGGCUGCACCACGACGGGGCGCUGGGGGCCGAGCAGCGCCAGGCCCUGCGGGACGCGCUGCUGCUGGGCUCCGGCACCGGCACCGCCGCGCCCCGCGUCGCCGAGACCGGCAGCGCCGUG
Molecule: long non-coding RNA, 308 nt
Organism: Oxyura jamaicensis (ruddy duck)
Lineage: Eukaryota; Metazoa; Chordata; Aves; Anseriformes; Anatidae
Exons: 3
Source: RefSeq, a predicted model, not a curated record